RNAcentral lists this ribosomal RNA (401 nucleotides) under uncultured Hypotrichia. Its description in RNAcentral is "partial small subunit ribosomal RNA". It matches the Rfam family "Eukaryotic small subunit ribosomal RNA", at positions 30 to 432 of the family's 1831-position model. Lineage: Eukaryota; Ciliophora; Spirotrichea. The record is from RNAcentral.
GCUUGUCUCAAAGAUUAAGCCAUGCAUGUCUAAGUAUAAACGACUUUAUACAGUGAAACUGCGAAUGGCUCAUUAAAUCAGUUAUAGUUUAUUUGAUAAUCGAAUUUACAUGGAUAACCGUGGUAAUUCUAGAGCUAAUACAUGCUGGUUAGCCUGACUUUUAGGAAGGGCUGUAUUUAUUAGAUAACAAACCAAUAUUCCUCGUGUCUAUUGUGAUGACUCAUAAUAACUGAUCGAAUCGCAUGGGCCUUGCCCGCGAUACAUCAUUCAAGUUUCUGCCCCAUCAGCUUUCGAUGGUAGUGUAUUGGACUACCAUGGCUUUAACGGGUAACGGAGGAUUAGGGUUCGAUUCCGGAGAGGGAGCCUGAGAAACGGCUACCACAUCUAAGGAAGGCAGCAGG